RNAcentral lists this ribosomal RNA (561 nucleotides) under uncultured bacterium. Its description in RNAcentral is "bacterial SSU rRNA". It matches the Rfam family "Bacterial small subunit ribosomal RNA", at positions 56 to 663 of the family's 1533-position model. The record is from RNAcentral.
UGCAGUCGAACGAAGUAGCAAUACUUAGUGGCAGACGGGUGAGUAACAUGUAGGUAUCUGCCCUUUGGCCUGGAAUAACACGAGGAAACUUGUGCUAAUACCGGAUAAGUCUUUACGGAGAAAGCUUUAUGCACCAUUGGAUGAGCCUGCACUUGAUUAGUUUGUUGGUGGGGUAAUGGCCUACCAAGACUGUGAUCAAUAGCUGAUUUGAGAGGAUGAUCAGCCACAUUGGGACUGAGACACGGCCCAAACUCCUACGGGAGGCAGCAGUGGGGAAUCUUGCACAAUGGAGGAAACUCUGAUGCAGCGAUGCCGCGUGAGUGAAGAAGGCCUUUGGGUUGUAAAGCUCUUUCGUCGGGGAAGAAAAUGACUGUACCCGAAUAAGAAGGUCCGGCUAACUUCGUGCCAGCAGCCGCGGUAAUACGAAGGGACCUAGCGUAGUUCGGAAUUACUGGGCUUAAAGAGUUCGUAGGUGGUUGAAAAAGUUAGUGGUGAAAUCCCAGAGCUUAACUCUGGAACUGCCAUUAAAACUUUUCAGCUAGAGUAUGAUAGAGGAAAGCA